AGUGAACGCUGGCGGUAGGCCUAACACAUGCAAGUCGAACGGCAGCACAGUAAGAGCUUGCUCUUACGGGUGGCGAGUGGCGGACGGGUGAGGAAUACAUCGGAAUCUACUUUUUCGGGGGUGCUAACGUAGGGAAACUUACGCUAAUACCGCAUACGACCUACGGGUGAAAGCAGGGGAUCUUCGGGCCUUGCGCGAUUGAAUGAGCCGAUGUCGGAUUAGCUAGUUGGCGGGGUAAAGGCGCACCAAGGCGACGAUCCGUAGCGGGUCCGAGGGGCUGGUCCGCCACCCUGGAACUGAGGCACGGUCCAGACUCCUACGGGGGGCCGCAGUGGGGAAUCUUGGACGAUGGAGGAAAGCCUGAUCCAGCCAUACCGCGUGGGUGAAGAAGGCCUUCGGGUUGUAAAGCCCUUUUGUUGGGAAAGAAAAACAGCAGGUUAAUACCCCGCUGUAAUGACGGUACCGAAAGAAUAAGCACCGGCUAACUUCGUG
Molecule: ribosomal RNA, 492 nt
Filed under: uncultured bacterium
Lineage: Bacteria
Description: partial 16S ribosomal RNA
Rfam family: Bacterial small subunit ribosomal RNA
Source: RNAcentral